This 523-nucleotide long non-coding RNA is filed under the name Vulpes vulpes (red fox). Its description in RNAcentral is "lncRNA (ENSVVUG00000003810.1)". Lineage: Eukaryota; Metazoa; Chordata; Mammalia; Carnivora; Canidae. The record is from RNAcentral.
CAGAGUCAAUGACAUAAGAUUCACAAAGUUCUGGCCACAUCGUGCAACAGAUAUUCCUGAUCUCUCCCUUUAAUUGGGCCAGGCACUGCUGGAUUGAGAUGUGGCCACUAGGGUGACUGAUCCAGGACACCCUCAGCCAAGGCACCACUGGACCAUCUUUUCUCCUUUUGAAGAGGCUAGAAAGGAAUUGCCUGAGACACUGCCCCAAAAUAGGAUGGCAGGAAAGUUCACAAAGCCAGUUGGAAUACGUGAUCUCAUCAACCACAUGUAUAGGAGGGUGCUGUCCCCAUUCUGCAGAUGAUGAAAACGAGGCUACAGGAGAUGAAGUCACUUGCCUAAAGCUACAUAGUCACACAUCAUGCGCAGCACAGCACAGCAGACCUUGCCCAGGCCUGUCAGUCUUUACCUCUGGAGUUAGGAAAAGUCCUUCUUUUUUGCAAAACAAGACUGGCCAAAUUCGCUACUGCUUCAGAAAAGGAAAAGUAGCCCUGGACCCUGUCCACAGAUUGUUUCCCCUUCUGGG